This 103-nucleotide small nuclear RNA is filed under the name Dryobates pubescens (Downy woodpecker). Lineage: Eukaryota; Metazoa; Chordata; Aves; Piciformes; Picidae. The record is from RNAcentral.
UCGCUUUGGCAGCGUAUGUACUAAAAUUGGAAUGAUACAGAGAAGAUUAGCAUGGCCCCUGUGCAAGGAUGACACAUACAUUCAUGAAGUGUUCCAUAUUUUG